ACUCCUACGGGAGGCAGCAGUGGGGAAUAUUGCACAAUGGGGGAAACCCUGAUGCAGCCAUGCCGCGUGUGUGAAGAAGGCCUUCGGGUUGUAAAGCACUUUCAGUAGGGAGGAAGGUAGUGUAGUUAACACCUGCAUUAUUUGACGUUACCUACAGAAGAAGCACCGGCUAACUCCGUGCCAGCAGCCGCGGUAAUACGGAGGGUGCGAGCGUUAAUCGGAAUUACUGGGCGUAAAGCGCAUGCAGGCGGCCUGUUAAGUCAGAUGUGAAAGCCCGGGGCUUAACCUCGGAAUUGCAUUUGAAACUGGCAGGCUAGAGUCUUGUAGAGGGGGGUAGAAUUUCAGGUGUAGCGGUGAAAUGCGUAGAUAUUAGGAGGAACACCAGUGGCGAAGGCGACUUACUGGACUGUAACUGACGCUGAUGCACGAAAGCGUGGGUAGCGAACAGGAUUAGAUA
This 457-nucleotide ribosomal RNA is filed under the name uncultured bacterium. Its description in RNAcentral is "bacterial SSU rRNA". It matches the Rfam family "Bacterial small subunit ribosomal RNA", at positions 335 to 784 of the family's 1533-position model. The record is from RNAcentral.